This 253-nucleotide ribosomal RNA is filed under the name uncultured bacterium. RNAcentral describes it as "partial 16S ribosomal RNA". It matches the Rfam family "Bacterial small subunit ribosomal RNA", at positions 524 to 776 of the family's 1533-position model. The record is from RNAcentral.
UACAGAGGGUGCAAGCGUUGUUCGGAAUUAUUGGGCGUAAAGGGCGCGUAGGCGGUUCGGCAAGUCUCUAGUGAAAUCUCUGGGCUCAACUCAGAGUCUGCUGGGGAAACUGCCGGGCUUGAGUGUGGGAGAGGAGAGUGGAAUUCCCGGUGUAGCGGUGAAAUGCGUAGAUAUCAGGAGGAACACCUGUGGCGAAAGCGGCGCACUGGACCACAACUGACGCUGAGGCGCGAAAGCUAGGGGAGCAAACAGG